Molecule: non-coding RNA, 105 nt
Organism: Triticum urartu
Lineage: Eukaryota; Viridiplantae; Streptophyta; Magnoliopsida; Poales; Poaceae
Source: Rfam
CUACUACUCCCUCCGUUCCAAAAUAGAUGACUCAAUUUUGUACUAACUUUGUACUAAAGUUAGUACAAAGUUGAGUCAUCUAUUUUGGAACGGAGGGAGUAUACU